UAAAUAGUAAUUAUGGUUCAGUGAUUUAUCACAGUUGGAUUUAUCUGGUUUUAUGAUUGUAAUAAAGGAUUUGUGAUUCUUGCAAAUUGGAAAUGGUUUUCUACCCCUCGUGGUAGCGAGUUUUAAAGGAAAAAGGUUUCCUUGUGGGAAACAGUUUUUAAAAAGGUUUUCUUGGUUUUCAUGGCUUAGUGUUUUAAAAAAUGAGUUUCCGGGUAGGAAACAUUUUAAACUGAUAGUUGUGCGCCGGAUUUAUGGAUAAUUCUGAAUGUGAAUGUGAAUGGUGUAUGAAUAUGUGAAUGUUUAUAUGUGUGGUUGUAUCAUGUAUCGUGAAUCUUGUAUUUUGUACGCCGUGCAAAUAUAGGGGAGACUCUAUUCGUGUGAACAGUGAAUUCCCUGUAUUUGUGGCGGAUCUGGCAUACCCUGGGGGUCAGGUUUUCAAAAAAAAA
This 446-nucleotide long non-coding RNA is filed under the name Ananas comosus (pineapple). Its description in RNAcentral is "long non-coding RNA (ACOM_LNC026551)". The record is from RNAcentral. Lineage: Eukaryota; Viridiplantae; Streptophyta; Magnoliopsida; Poales; Bromeliaceae.